RNAcentral lists this ribosomal RNA (180 nucleotides) under uncultured bacterium. RNAcentral describes it as "partial 16S ribosomal RNA". It matches the Rfam family "Bacterial small subunit ribosomal RNA", at positions 333 to 525 of the family's 1533-position model. The record is from RNAcentral.
GGGGGCCUACGUGGAGUGCAGCAGUGGGGAAUAUUGGACAAUGGGCGAAAGCCUGAUCCAGCAAUGCCGCGUGAGUGAUGAAGUGCCUUAGUGGUUGUAAAGCUCUUUUACCAGUGGAUGAUAAUGACAGUACCUGGAGAAUAAGCUCCGGCUAACUCCGUGCCAGCAGCCGCGGUAAUA